AGGGGUUUUAUGGCAAUACAAACGCCCAUUGGCAACAAUAUUUUCAUCCUUAUCCUGACAAGAUUGAGCAACCAUUUGACUCUGAGGUAAUUGUUUUCUGAGUUUCUGACAUAGUUAUAUUUAUUAGUUUGACCUAGCUAGCUAGAUGGUGUAUAUCUGGAGGUAGUGUAUUUCAAUAAGGUCUUUAAAUUGUAUAAUAUAUAAUACUGGUCAAACCUAUAUAAAGUUCCCUCAAAUUAUGUAAUAAUUUUAAAAUACAACUACCUUGUACCCACAACCAUCUUGGUUUCCAAAAGGUAAUGGACCAGAGUAAUACACCUGGGUAGAAAUAUAGUAGCUCAAUUUACCCAGUGUAUUAGCAUUUAUUGUGUUUUUAUUAACUUAUUUUAGGAAGAAGUUUCUGUAUCAUCACAAAAGCUUGGCCAUUGACCUAUUUGGCUGGUUAUGUCAUGAACUCACGAUAAGAUCUUUGUAUCGAAAAAGCAAAAAUUGUUCCAGGUGGCACUCCCAGAGAAACAAAGAAAUUCAAGCCUUGAUGUAUUCAAUGCGAACUGCAACAGAGGACAAUGAGUACAUUUAAUCGUUGUGGUGGCCUUUGGUCAACUCAUUUAUGGCUUGUAAGUGUAAUGGAAGUUAGUGAGUUAGUUUUUAGUAAGCACACGAAUAAAGACAAGGUCACUUGUCUCCCAGUAGACAAAAUAGUGAAUGAAGUAUUGGCUUCUUCCCUUGUGAAAAGCUUGUGGUGCAAUAUUAUUGCAAAUUAUGAUAUGGAAAUCUCUAAAGAAUGUCAGUUCCUGUGUUUAGAAAAUAUUGUAAAGUUAUAUGUUACUGUUAGAUGUUUUCAUUUGCCAAAGAUACUGUAAAUAAUGUGUGACUAGUGAAGUGAUGUAAUUAAUCAAUAUUAAAUGUAUUCCUUGAACCCUUUUGCCACCAAAGAAGUACAUUAGUUUUUUUAAGAUCACGUCUUUAAAAUGUUAUUGCAUUUGACCAAAUGUCCAGCUUAAAUAUAAUCUAGGGUAUUGAAAAACCAUAACCAGUCACUGUC
Paramuricea clavata is the source of this 1045-nucleotide non-coding RNA. NCBI's taxonomy places the organism in Eukaryota, Metazoa, Cnidaria, Anthozoa, Malacalcyonacea, Plexauridae. The record is from the annotation of a GenBank genome assembly.